GGAUGCGAUCAUACAAGCACUAAAGCACCGGAUCCCAUCAGAACUCUGAAGUUAAGCGUGCUUGGGCGAGCGUGCUUGGGCGAGAGUAGUACUAGGAUGGGUGACCUCCUGGGAGUCCUCGUGUUGCAUUCC
RNAcentral lists this ribosomal RNA (132 nucleotides) under Triticum aestivum (bread wheat). The record is from RNAcentral. Lineage: Eukaryota; Viridiplantae; Streptophyta; Magnoliopsida; Poales; Poaceae.